Molecule: ribosomal RNA, 267 nt
Filed under: uncultured Pelotomaculum sp.
Lineage: Bacteria; Bacillati; Bacillota; Clostridia; Eubacteriales; Desulfotomaculaceae
Description: partial 16S ribosomal RNA
Rfam family: Bacterial small subunit ribosomal RNA
Source: RNAcentral
GUUGCUAACAGGUGAAGCUGAGCACUCUAGACGAACUGCCGUUGACAAAACGGAGGAAGGUGGGAUGACGUCAAAUCAUCAUGCCCUUAUGUUCUGGGCUACACACGUGCUACAAUGGCCGGUACAGACGGAGGCGAAGCCGCGAGGCGGAGCAAAUCCGAAAAAGCCGGUCUCAGUUCGGAUUGCAGGCUGCAAUUCGCCUGCAUGAAGUCGGAAUCGCUAGUAAUCGCAGGUCAGCAUACUGCGGUGAAUACGUUCCCGGGCCUU